RNAcentral lists this ribosomal RNA (602 nucleotides) under Micrococcus sp. RNAcentral's name for it is "bacterial SSU rRNA". It matches the Rfam family "Bacterial small subunit ribosomal RNA", at positions 84 to 700 of the family's 1533-position model. The record is from RNAcentral. Lineage: Bacteria; Bacillati; Actinomycetota; Actinomycetes; Micrococcales; Micrococcaceae.
UGGGUGGAUUAGUGGCGAACGGGUGAGUAACACGUGAGUAACCUGCCCUUAACUCUGGGAUAAGCCUGGGAAACUGGGUCUAAUACCGGAUAGGAGCGUCCACCGCAUGGUGGGUGUUGGAAAGAUUUAUCGGUUUUGGAUGGACUCGCGGCCUAUCAGCUUGUUGGUGAGGUAAUGGCUCACCAAGGCGACGACGGGUAGCCGGCCUGAGAGGGUGACCGGCCACACUGGGACUGAGACACGGCCCAGACUCCUACGGGAGGCAGCAGUGGGGAAUAUUGCACAAUGGGCGCAAGCCUGAUGCAGCGACGCCGCGUGAGGGAUGACGGCCUUCGGGUUGUAAACCUCUUUCAGUAGGGAAGAAGCGAAAGUGACGGUACCUGCAGAAGAAGCACCGGCUAACUACGUGCCAGCAGCCGCGGUAAUACGUAGGGUGCGAGCGUUAUCCGGAAUUAUUGGGCGUAAAGAGCUCGUAGGCGGUUUGUCGCGUCUGUCGUGAAAGUCCGGGGCUUAACCCCGGAUCUGCGGUGGGUACGGGCAGACUAGAGUGCAGUAGGGGAGACUGGAAUUCCUGGUGUAGCGGUGGAAUGCGCAGAUAUCAG